GCAGCUAGACAGCCCAGGUACUAGCAGGUAGACAGCCCUGGAACUAGCAGGUAGACAGCCCUGGAACUAGCAGGUAGACAGCCCAGGUACUAGCAGCUAGACAGCCCUGGUACUAGCAGGUAGACAGCCCUGGAACUAGCAGGUAGAAGGUAGACAGCCCUGGUACUAGCAGCUAGACAGCCCUGGAACUAGCAGGUAGACAGCCCUGGAACUAGCAGGUAGAAGGUAGACAGCCCUGGUACUAGCAGGUAGACAGCCCUGGAACUAGCAGGUAGACAGCCCAGGUACUAGCAGCUAGACAGCCCU
Long non-coding RNA from Salvelinus fontinalis (brook trout), 306 nucleotides. RefSeq lists it as uncharacterized. The transcript has 4 exons. Lineage: Eukaryota; Metazoa; Chordata; Actinopteri; Salmoniformes; Salmonidae. The record is from RefSeq and is a predicted model, not a curated record.